This 1752-nucleotide long non-coding RNA is filed under the name Canis lupus dingo (dingo). Its description in RNAcentral is "lncRNA (ENSCAFG00020026368.1)". Lineage: Eukaryota; Metazoa; Chordata; Mammalia; Carnivora; Canidae. The record is from RNAcentral.
AGCUGGAUGCGAAGAGAGGAAAGCGGGUGAAGACACGAGAAAGCACCGGGAGGCGCGCCGCGCGGGUAACACCGCCGCCCCCACCUCCCCCAGGACCCGGGACAAGCGCUCGCCCCCGAGCCCCCGGCCCCCCGAACCGCCCCCCCCCGCCCCGCCGCGACCCCGCCCCGGGAGCAGGGCCCCACCUCAGCGCUCCCGCGGGAUCCUCGCUCUAGCCCCGCCUCCGUCCGGCUCCGCUCCAUCCCGCUCCGGUACAGCCCGGCGACUCUGCGGCGAGCCUGAGCGCAGCGAGGCGGGACUUCCGGCGUUUGAAAAACUUCCGGCGGGAACCGGAAGAUGCGGUCACACACCCAGCAUCCCGGGCCUUCUGACUCGCCGGGCGGGAAGCCUACACCCGGAAACCCCUCUGCCUGCCGCGUGUCACCUGGCGCGUCCUCUCAGCGCGUGGGGGCAGACGUGGGAGAAGCCGGGCAAACCCAGAUUGUCUCUGUACCUCAAGUUAUCGGAGAUGGGGGAGGAAGCGCCCUUUUCACCAUCACAUCAUGGCCUGGUCUGCGUCAACUCCGUCCUUAGCAGGGCGCCUGGCUUCCAGGAGGCUCCGAAUAACUCUUGAGGAAAGGAAUGAAUGAAUGGGAACUCUCUAGGCAACUUUCCUGUAACCUCCCACGCGCCAGAAUGCCAUUCAUAGAAUGUUUGUGGAAUGGGAAGCAAGCCUAGGCUUGAUGUUUGGAGCUCUGGGUUCUAGCUACAUAACCAGAAUAUAGGUUCUCCCUUUGAGUAAACCAUUUCACCUCGCUGGAUCUCAGGCGUCUGAUUUUUUUGUCGUUGUGGUUGCCUUUGUUUUUGUUUUAAAGGUCUGUAUGAGUUCUGAGGCUCUUUCCACGUCUAUUACUUUAUUUUUAUUACGGAAGGAUCUUUGCUCACGUUCCGAGCACUUUUUGUACUCAGGGAAAUUUCUUUAGGUGCCUCUUAAAAAGUUGUUCACCUCUGCUCUUCCUAAAAUUUCUCGUGGAUUUCCCAAUUUUAUUUUAUUUUAUUUUAUUUUUUUAUUUAUAAAAGAUUUAUUUAUUUAUUUAUUUAUUUAUUUAUUUAUUUAUUUAUUUAUUUAUUUAUUUAUUUAUUUAUUUAUGAUGGACGUAGAGAGAGGCAGAGACACAGGAGGAGGGAGAAGCAGGCUCCAUGCUGGCAGCCCGAUGCGGGACUCGAUUCCGGGACUCCAGGAUCGCGCCCUGGGCCAAAGGCAGGCGCCAAACCGCUGAGCUACCCAGGGAUCCCGGAUUUCCCAAUUUUAAUGUAGCGUUUACAUGUGUGCCAGUUUCCUCAUCCCCCUCCCCUUGAUUUUUCAGUUGCCCUUGUUUAGUGCCUCCUCCCUGAGUAAGGUCACAGCAACUGGUUUUGAAUGUGCUCAUGUGUCCACAGAGCUGAGACAGCCUUGAAAGUUAGAAAUCUCAAGUCACUAAGAAUAGGAAGGUUCAUCUAUACCAUCACUCUUUGGAAAGAACAAUGAGUGCCAUGUGUGCUAUUGCCUAAUAGUGAUGGGGAAAAGUGUAUACUCCUCUAUAAAGACCGUUUUGUAUAUAUUCUUAUGUUCAUUUAAUCAAUAGUUAUAGAGCAGCCGUUAAGUGCUAAUCUCUGUUACCGAGAAGUGAAUAAGGCAAAUGUGGUUUCUUCCUUCAUGGAGUUUACUGCCAUAGAGUAAACAUGGGGGAUGCAGACAAUAAACAAGGAUAAUUAUAGAUUGUGCUUUGUGUA